CCCUUAGAUGUUCUGGGCCGCACGCGCGCUACAAUGAUGAAUUCAACGAGUUUAUAACCUUGGUUGAAAGGCCUGGGUAAUCUUUUGAACUUUCGUCGUGAUGGGGCUAGACCCUUGCAAUUAUUGGUCUCCAACGAGGAAUUCCUAGUAAACGCAAGUCAUCAGCUUGCAUUGAUUACGUCCCUGCCCUUUGUACACAUUGCCCGUCGCACCUACCGAUUGAAUGGUCCGGUGAAAUCUUCGGAUUGAGACUUUGUUUUCUUCACGGAAAACGCUGUUUUAAAAAGUUGAUUAAACCUUACCAUUUAGAGGAAGGUGAAGUCGUAACA
This 329-nucleotide ribosomal RNA is filed under the name uncultured eukaryote. RNAcentral's name for it is "partial 18S ribosomal RNA". It matches the Rfam family "Eukaryotic small subunit ribosomal RNA", at positions 1470 to 1796 of the family's 1831-position model. The record is from RNAcentral.